Molecule: ribosomal RNA, 253 nt
Filed under: uncultured bacterium
Lineage: Bacteria
Description: partial 16S ribosomal RNA
Rfam family: Bacterial small subunit ribosomal RNA
Source: RNAcentral
UACGGGGGGGGCAAGCGUUGUUCGGAAUUACUGGGCGUAAAGGGUUCGUAGGCGGCCAACUAAGUCGGAUGUGAAAUCCCCAGGCUUAACCUGGGAACUGCAUCCGAUACUGGAUGGCUUGAAUUCGGGAGAGGGAUGCAGAAUUCCAGGUGUAGCGGUGAAAUGCGUAGAUAUCAGGAGGAACACCGGUGGCGAAGGCGGGUCUCUGGGCCGAUACUGACGCUGAGGAGCGAAAGCGUGGGGAGCGAACAGG